This 403-nucleotide ribosomal RNA is filed under the name uncultured Eubacteriales bacterium. RNAcentral describes it as "bacterial SSU rRNA". It matches the Rfam family "Bacterial small subunit ribosomal RNA", at positions 356 to 774 of the family's 1533-position model. The record is from RNAcentral. Lineage: Bacteria; Bacillati; Bacillota; Clostridia; Eubacteriales.
GGGGAAUAUUGGGCAAUGGACGCAAGUCUGACCCAGCAACGCCGCGUGAAGGAAGAAGGCUUUCGGGUUGUAAACUUCUUUUAAGGGGGAAGAGUAGAAGACGGUACCCCUUGAAUAAGCCACGGCUAACUACGUGCCAGCAGCCGCGGUAAUACGUAGGUGGCGAGCGUUGUCCGGAAUUACUGGGCGUAAAGGGCGCGUAGGCGGCUCUUUAAGUUAGAUGUGAAAACCCAGGGCUCAACCCUGGGAGUGCAUUUAAAACUGAAGGGCUCGAGUGCAGGAGAGGUAAGUGGAAUUCCUAGUGUAGCGGUGAAAUGCGUAGAUAUUAGGAGGAACACCAGUGGCGAAGGCGACUUACUGGACUGUAACUGACGCUGAGGCGCGAAAGCGUGGGGAGCAAACA